UACGUAGGGGGCAAGCGUUGUCCGGAAUCAUUGGGCGUAAAGCGCGCGUAGGCGGCUCGAUCAGUCUGCUGUGAAAGUCAAAGGCUCAACCUUUGAAUGCCGGUGGAUACUGUCGAGCUAGAGUCCGGAAGAGGCGAGUGGAAUUCCUGGUGUAGCGGUGGAAUGCGCAGAUAUCAGGAGGAACACCAACGGCGAAGGCAGCUCGCUGGGACGGUACUGACACUGAGACGCGAAAGCGUGGGGAGCAAACAGG
RNAcentral lists this ribosomal RNA (253 nucleotides) under uncultured bacterium. RNAcentral's name for it is "partial 16S ribosomal RNA". It matches the Rfam family "Bacterial small subunit ribosomal RNA", at positions 524 to 776 of the family's 1533-position model. The record is from RNAcentral.